Molecule: ribosomal RNA, 960 nt
Filed under: Halorubrum xinjiangense
Lineage: Archaea; Methanobacteriati; Methanobacteriota; Halobacteria; Halobacteriales; Haloferacaceae
Description: bacterial SSU rRNA
Rfam family: Archaeal small subunit ribosomal RNA
Source: RNAcentral
AGUCGCACGAGUUCAGACUCGUGGCGAAUAGCUCAGUAACACGUGGCCAAACUACCCUUCGGAACACAAUACCCUCGGGAAACUGAGGCUAAUGGUGUAUACCAUACCACCACUGGAAUGAGUGGUAUGUCAAACGCUCCGGCGCCGAAGGAUGUGGCUGCGGCCGAUUAGGUAGACGGUGGGGUAACGGCCCACCGUGCCAAUAAUCGGUACGGGUCAUGAGAGUGAGAACCCGGAGACGGAAUCUGAGACAAGAUUCCGGGCCCUACGGGGCGCAGCAGGCGCGAAACCUUUACACUGCACGACAGUGCGAUAGGGGGAUCCCAAGUGCACAGGCAUAGCGCCUGUGCUUUUCGGUACCGUAAGGUGGUACCAGAAUAAGGGCUGGGCAAGACCGGUGCCAGCCGCCGCGGUAAUACCGGCAGCCCAAGUGAUGGCCGAUCUUAUUGGGCCUAAAGCGUCCGUAGCUGGCCGCGCAAGUCCAUCGGGAAAUCCACCUGCUCAACAGGUGGGCGCCCGGUAGAAACUGCGUGGCUUGGGACCGGAAGGCGCGACGGGUACGUCCGGGGUAGGAGUGAAAUCCCGUAAUCCUGGACGGACCGCCGAUGGCGAAAGCACGUCGCGAGAACGGAUCCGACAGUGAGGGACGAAAGCCAGGGUCUCGAACCGGAUUAGAUACCCGGGUAGUCCUGGCCGUAAACAAUGUCUGCUAGGUGUGGCUCCCACUACGAGUGGGUGCUGUGCCGUAGGGAAGCCGCUAAGCAGACCGCCUGGGAAGUACGUCCGCAAGGAUGAAACUUAAAGGAAUUGGCGGGGGAGCACUACAACCGGAGGAGCCUGCGGUUUAAUUGGACUCAACGCCGGACAUCUCACCAGCAUCGACUGUAAUAAUGACGACCAGGUUGAUGACCUUGUCCGAGUUUCAGAGAGGAGGUGCAUGGGCCGCCGUCAGCUCGUACC